Molecule: unclassified non-coding RNA, 329 nt
Filed under: soil metagenome
Description: partial contains 5.8S ribosomal RNA, internal transcribed spacer 2, and large subunit ribosomal RNA
Rfam family: 5.8S ribosomal RNA (bases 1-120)
Source: RNAcentral
GAUGAAGAACGUAGCGAAAUGCGAUAAGUAGUGUGAAUUGCAGAAUUCAGUGAAUCAUCGAAUCUUUGAACGCACAUUGCGCCCCUUGGUAUCCCGAGGGGCAUGCCUGUUCGAGCGUCAUUUCACCACUCAAGCCUGGCUUGGUGUUGGGCGACGUCCUCUUUGGGGACGCGCCUCGAAACGCUCGGCGGCGUGGCACCGACUUUAAGCGUAGCAGAAUCUUUCGCUUUGGAAGUCGGGGCCCCGUCUGCCGGAAGACCUGCUCGCAAGGUUGACCUCGGAUCAGGCAGGGAUACCCGCUGAACUUAAGCAUAUCAAUAAGCGGAGGA